AGAAAUAUUCAAUAUUACAAAUUAUGUAAGUUUUAUUUAUUUUAUUAGACUUCAUAAAUGGUCGAAUAAAUAUACACAAGAAUAAUUUAAUUUGCCAGGCUUUUAUCACGUGAAAUUCUAUAAUCUUCCACCACCACUACCUCCUCCUCCCCCUCCACCACCAUUUUAACCAAAACCACUACCAGAUCCAUAGCCUGAACCACUACCAUAUCCAUUUCCAUUUCCAUUUCCACUACCACCACCGCCGCCGCCUCCGCCUCCACCUCCACCAUUUUUACCAUAGCCACUACCAGAUCCAUAGCCUAAACCACCACCAGAUCCAUUUCCACCCCCAACUCCUCCUCCCCAUCCGCCGCCACUAUUUUUACCAGAACCAUUACCAUAUCCAUAGCCUGAGCCACUACCAAAUCCAUUUCCAUUUCCAUUGCCACCACCACUUCCGCCUCCACCAUUUAUACCAUAGCCACUACCAGAUCCAUAGCCAGAACCACUACCAGAUAUAUUUCCAUCACCACCACCACCACCACCUUCUCCCCCUCCGCCACCACCAUUUAUACCAUAGCCACUACCAGAUCCAUUGCCUGAACCACUACCAGAUCCAUUUCCAUCACCACCACC
RNAcentral lists this long non-coding RNA (618 nucleotides) under Zostera marina. Its description in RNAcentral is "long non-coding RNA (ZMAR_LNC003914)". The record is from RNAcentral. Lineage: Eukaryota; Viridiplantae; Streptophyta; Magnoliopsida; Alismatales; Zosteraceae.